UUAAGUUCAGCGGGUAUCCCUACCUGAUCCGAGGUCAAGCGUGUUAAAAUAGCCUUGAUGGAUGCUAGUGAUGUGGGCUGGAACCGCAAAUUGUGCUGCGCUUCAAUACCAAUACACUGGCUGCCAAUAUUUUUGAGGCGAGUCCCAACACAAGAGGAGAGGACAAACACCCAACACCAAGCAAAGCUUGAGAGUACAAA
This 200-nucleotide unclassified non-coding RNA is filed under the name Phaeosphaeriaceae sp. RNAcentral describes it as "partial internal transcribed spacer 2". Lineage: Eukaryota; Fungi; Ascomycota; Dothideomycetes; Pleosporales; Phaeosphaeriaceae. The record is from RNAcentral.